Molecule: ribosomal RNA, 643 nt
Filed under: uncultured Piscicoccus sp.
Lineage: Bacteria; Bacillati; Actinomycetota; Actinomycetes; Micrococcales; Dermatophilaceae
Description: bacterial SSU rRNA
Rfam family: Bacterial small subunit ribosomal RNA
Source: RNAcentral
CGCGGCCUAUCAGCUUGUUGGUGAGGUAGUGGCUUACCAAGGCGACGACGGGUAGCCGGCCUGAGAGGGUGACCGGCCACACUGGGACUGAGACACGGCCCAGACUCCUACGGGAGGCAGCAGUGGGGAAUAUUGCACAAUGGGCGCAAGCCUGAUGCAGCGACGCCGCGUGAGGGAUGAAGGCCUUCGGGUUGUAAACCUCUUUCGUCAGGGAAGAAGCGAAAGUGACGGUACCUGAAGAAGAAGCACCGGCUAACUACGUGCCAGCAGCCGCGGUAAUACGUAGGGUGCGAGCGUUGUCCGGAAUUAUUGGGCGUAAAGAGCUUGUAGGCGGUUUGUCGCGUCUGCCGUGAAAACCUAGGGCUUAACUCUGGGCGUGCGGUGGGUACGGGCAGGCUAGAGUGUGGUAGGGGAGACUGGAAUUCCUGGUGUAGCGGUGAAAUGCGCAGAUAUCAGGAGGAACACCGAUGGCGAAGGCAGGUCUCUGGGCCAUAACUGACGCUGAGAAGCGAAAGCAUGGGGAGCGAACAGGAUUAGAUACCCUGGUAGUCCAUGCCGUAAACGUUGGGCGCUAGGUGUGGGGCUCAUUCCACGAGUUCUGUGCCGCAGCUAACGCAUUAAGCGCCCCGCCUGGGGAGUACGG